GUAGUCUGUGGCCUGGUGGCUAUGGUGCUUGGCUGGGACCCAGUAGGUAGGUGGUUCAAGCCCCAGCUACA
Molecule: non-coding RNA, 71 nt
Organism: Albula goreensis
Lineage: Eukaryota; Metazoa; Chordata; Actinopteri; Albuliformes; Albulidae
Source: the annotation of a GenBank genome assembly